Molecule: ribosomal RNA, 716 nt
Filed under: uncultured bacterium
Lineage: Bacteria
Description: bacterial SSU rRNA
Rfam family: Bacterial small subunit ribosomal RNA
Source: RNAcentral
CACGUGUAGCAGUGAAAUGCGUAGAGAUGUGGAGGAAUACCGAUGGCGAAGGCAGCCUCCUGGGAUAACACUGACGUUCAUGCCCGAAAGCGUGGGUAGCAAACAGGAUUAGAUACCCUGGUAGUNCACGCCCUAAACGAUGUCGAUUAGCUGUUGGGCAGCAUGACUGCUUAGUAGCGAAGCUAACGCGUGAAAUCGACCGCCUGGGGAGUACGGUCGCAAGAUUAAAACUCAAAGGAAUUGACGGGGACCCGCACAAGCGGUGGAUGAUGUGGAUUAAUUCGAUGCAACGCGAAGAACCUUACCUGGUCUUGACAUGUACGGAACCCUCCAGAGACGGAGGGGUGCCUUCGGGAGCCGUAACACAGGUGCUGCAUGGCUGUCGUCAGCUCGUGUCGUGAGAUGUUGGGUUAAGUCCCGCAACGAGCGCAACCCUUGUCAUUAGUUGCCAUCAUUAAGUUGGGCACUCUAAUGAGACUGCCGGUGACAAGCCGGAGGAAGGUGGGGAUGACGUCAAGUCCUCAUGGCCCUUAUGACCAGGGCUUCACACGUCAUACAAUGGUCGGUACAGAGGGUAGCCAAGCCGCGAGGUGGAGCCAAUCUCACAAAACCGAUCGUAGUCCGGAUUGCACUCUGCAACUCGAGUGCAUGAAGUCGGAAUCGCUAGUAAUCGCAGGUCAGCAUACUGCGGUGAAUACGUUCCCGGGUCUUGUACA